Molecule: non-coding RNA, 23 nt
Filed under: Arabidopsis thaliana (thale cress)
Lineage: Eukaryota; Viridiplantae; Streptophyta; Magnoliopsida; Brassicales; Brassicaceae
Source: RNAcentral
GAACCUUGUGUCUCGGUCUGACA